UAAGCCUGAUCAACAAGUGAAAAGAGUCAGAUAAGAGGAAAGAGUUUGAAAACUGAUUUGACGACCACUGCUGAAUUGGCCUGCUAAGAGGAAGAGGCACUAAUGAUUCCAGAAGAGGAAGCCAAAGAAGAAGACCUACACAGACUUUGAAAUGGAUCUCUCAAUUGCCAUGAUGACCAAGAUAUUCAA
Molecule: long non-coding RNA, 189 nt
Organism: Perca fluviatilis (European perch)
Lineage: Eukaryota; Metazoa; Chordata; Actinopteri; Perciformes; Percidae
Exons: 3
Source: RefSeq, a predicted model, not a curated record